CGGGGAGGAAGAACCCUAACCCUAGCCAUGCCCAUCUGUGUUACGCUCUCUCCCUUUCUCCAAAGCCCACGAGAGAUCCGAGACAAAGAACCCUAACCGUAGCGAUGGCCUUUUGCCUCCGAGCUCCUCCCUCAUCGCCCUUCUAGUACUUAUCUUCUAGCCGUCCCGCAAUGCAAACGGCCUCUGCCGUCUAGCUUCGAACUUCCUGUUGGGAACUCGGGGAGGCUUCGCCAAAUGGAAUCAAAAAAAUCGAGUAAGCUCAGUCUUCCCCCCAUUUUGUUCCUCUGUUUUUUCCCAAACAAUGUCAUGCAAAAUAUGGUAAUUUUUGAACUAUUUUAGGACCAAUAUAUUCGAUUAAGUAAAGAAGUAAGCGUCACUCGAAUCAAGUAUGUUCUUUGACAUGGAUUCCUGCUUUAGUUGCACUUCUCUUCGGUUUUACUUCUCCAUCUCAUUCUAGAUGAUGAAUUCUUAUGUUGCUGUGAUCUGCAAGGAACUAUUAGUAGACAAUAUGAUAGUAUAUGAUCUUCAUGUUCUCGUGUUCCUCAUUUUCAGAAGUCAAAUUUACAUUAUCAGUAAUCCUAGUUCUAUUUGCAAGAAAUUGAUGGUCAUUAGACAGAUUCAAUCAAGCCAAUAAUUCAAACCUAAUCUAAAAUUUAAAGUAUAGGCCAGACAAAUCUCUAUGCCUUGAUCAUACAGUUAUCAAAGAAAAUAAUCUGGUGGCAAAACCUUGAGUGGAUAGAUUGGUGACCGACAUUGUUAAAAGGAUGAAUCCAUUACACGAGACUACUAUUAAUAUGCCAUUACUUUGUUUUCUAGACUUGAACAAUGGUCUGUUGGUGUUAUGAAGAAUAUGAUUUUGUAGAGAUUGUCUGUUGGUGUUAAUCAGGUUUCAUCUCUCAAGUUCCAAUUGAAUAAUUUGAAUGAUAUGGUUGAUAAAUGUGAAGAUCUCUUUAUGAGCAACCAAACUAUUUUAGAUAGAGACAUGGACCAAUUUUCAUAGGGUUAUAUUGAAGAAAUAAUUCACAGCUACUACUUAGGUAACAUUUUUAGUUUUCAUGAGAAGAAUAUUUCACAUUGUUACUCUAAAAUCGAUAACUUUCUCAGCACUGGAUUUGUAUGAUCAAAAAUUUAAUUAUCUUAUCUUGUUAUAUGACAAACAAUUUAACUUAAUGAUACCUUCAUUCAAAUGUGAGAGUGCUUAAACUGGAUCGGGAAUAGUUUAACCAGUUUCCGAAAAGAUUCAGAUAGAAAAGUAGGUACUUGAUUUAUGUCUGAAUUCAGGCAUAAUUUGUAACCAACCUUUUUAUCAUCGACUCAUUGUCACCAUAAGGUUUAAAUCUAACAUCUGAUUGAUAAUGAAUAAUUGCGGCUAUUCCACCAUAAGUCUAUAAAACUUUCCAUGUUCAUAUAAAACAGGGUGAGGUAAAACUACAAAGCCUGUCCCUCUUACAUGUAUGAACAUAUAUUUGACGUUCUAUAGAACCUUGCUUCACAUCCUUCCAACCUGAAGGCUGUUAAACUCAGGUUUUCUGUUUAUUUCAUUCAUAAAUAUUUCAUUGUUGAUUUCUAUAUUUAUCUGAGUAAAUAAAUUGUUGGAACAACUUGUUGGACUUCAUAUUUCAUAAUUAUUUCUUAUUUCAUAUUCAUAUUCAUAUUUAUCUAUAUUUCAUAAUUAUUUCUGGACUUCUUACAACUUGUUGGAACAACUGAAAAUGUUUCAUACAUGUUGUAUAUGUGCUCUCAUAUCCUACCUGGCAAGAAGAAUCACCAGAUGCUUAUUAGAGGUGAACCAACCAUAUGAUAAAGAAUUUAAUUAUCUUAUCCGUUUAGAUAACAAAUAAUUUAACUUAAUGAUUACCUUCAUUCAAAUGCGAGAGUUCUUCUCGCAAAAGAAAAAAGAAAAAAGUGAGAGUUCUUCUUGGGUAUUUGGGUCUACCCAAAAUCUGCUUAAACAGGGAUCGGGAAUAGGUUAACCAGUUUCCAAAAGGAUUCAGGUACAUAAGUAGGUACUUGAAUUAUGUUUGAAUUCAGGCAUAAUUUGCAACCAACCUUUUUUAUCAUCGACUUAUUGUCACCAUCAGGCUUAAAUCAAACACCUGAUUGCUAAUGAAUAAUUGGAGCUAUUCCACCAUAAGUGUAUAGAACUUUCCAUGUUCAUAUAAAACAGGGUGAAGUAUAACUACAGAGUCUGUUCCUGUUACUUUCUGUAAAUCUUUUGCUUCACAUCCUUACAACUUGAAGACUGUUAAACUCAGGUUUUAAUGUACUCGUAUUAUUCCUGAACUUGUUACAACUUGUUGGUAAUGAGAGAGGAUAACAUCGAGAGAGAAGAUGAUGACGACCAAAGAAAAGAAAGAGACUUGAACGCCAAAGAGAGAGCUGUGCCAAAAGUGGGAGAGUGGAAGACGAUAUAAAAGGGGACGACAACAAGAGGAUGAUGGGGUAACAAAUGAAAGAUUAGUCCAAUCCAAUUAUUGAUAACUAUAAUUCAAAAAUAUUCCUCUAACAUUUCAUGAGGAUAAUUUCAUUGAGUUGCAGUACAUUUAAUGAGUAUUUUUUUUAUAUAUAUUUCAUGCCACAUAAUGCUUGUUUCUAGCUCUUGUCAUCCAAUGACCCAACUUAGCCUAGAUAAUCUUCAAUCUUGGAUAUAAAAUCUAACAAAUCAUAAAACAUAAAUCACAUGUUUUGCCCCAAGAUGAGACCAAGUCAACCUCAACUCUGACAUCUACAUGUCAGAGUUAUCUCCCAGGAGGGGUUUUUUUUUUUUUUUUUUGUUAGUACCUAAAUAACAUUAUCCUAAUCAAAUUGAUCGGACAACCCAUUGCAUGAGCAGGAGUUCCAAACCCUUGUAAAAUUUUGGAGAUGCAGAUGCAUGCACACCCACCUGGGUUUGUGACUGCCAGUUCCUCCUCACAAAUUUUAGCUCUCAGUUUACCAUCACAUGCAGUGGACGCAAGAGACAAAGGAGUAGAAUGGGGCAUUCAUCAUGUCCAUCCACCAACCAAACUG
Molecule: long non-coding RNA, 3009 nt
Filed under: Musa acuminata (dwarf banana)
Lineage: Eukaryota; Viridiplantae; Streptophyta; Magnoliopsida; Zingiberales; Musaceae
Description: long non-coding RNA (MACU_LNC001059)
Source: RNAcentral